This 421-nucleotide ribosomal RNA is filed under the name Clostridioides difficile. RNAcentral describes it as "bacterial SSU rRNA". It matches the Rfam family "Bacterial small subunit ribosomal RNA", at positions 1 to 429 of the family's 1533-position model. Lineage: Bacteria; Bacillati; Bacillota; Clostridia; Peptostreptococcales; Peptostreptococcaceae. The record is from RNAcentral.
UUUUAUUUGAGAGUUUGAUCCUGGCUCAGGAUGAACGCUGGCGGCGUGCCUAACACAUGCAAGUUGAGCGAUUUACUUCGGUAAAGAGCGGCGGACGGGUGAGUAACGCGUGGGUAACCUACCCUGUACACACGGAUAACAUACCGAAAGGUAUGCUAAUACGGGAUAAUAUAUUUGAGAGGCAUCUCUUGAAUAUCAAAGGUGAGCCAGUACAGGAUGGACCCGCGUCUGAUUAGCUAGUUGGUAAGGUAACGGCUUACCAAGGCGACGAGCAGUAGCCGACCUGAGAGGGUGAUCGGCCACAUUGGAACUGAGACACGGUCCAAACUCCUACGGGAGGCAGCAGUGGGGAAUAUUGCACAAUGGGCGAAAGCCUGAUGCAGCAACGCCGCGUGAGUGAUGAAGGCCUUCGGGUCGUAAA